This 295-nucleotide long non-coding RNA is filed under the name Gossypium barbadense (sea-island cotton). RNAcentral describes it as "long non-coding RNA (GBAR_LNC007291)". Lineage: Eukaryota; Viridiplantae; Streptophyta; Magnoliopsida; Malvales; Malvaceae. The record is from RNAcentral.
GGAAAAAUUAACGGCAGUUUAUUUGGAGUUUCUUAUCUCCAGUUAUAAAUAAUUUAGUGACUGUUGCUCAAGAAAAUAGCUUGUAGUGAAUUUGUGAUUUUGUUGCAAACAUGGUUAAAACUAGUUAAUGAGAUACUUUUCGAGUUCUUAUGAUCUUAUUUGUGAUUUCAAUAUUUUGUUUUAAUUGAGUUCAGAUUCAAGUGAGGUGAAUUUGCUAAAUAUGCAUUAUGUUCAUGGAUACUUGGCCGAAAUGGCAAUUACCUAGGAAUGAUUUCUUAAAAAUUUGAAAUAAUCG